RNAcentral lists this transfer RNA (72 nucleotides) under Candidatus Yanofskyibacteriota bacterium. RNAcentral's name for it is "Candidatus Yanofskybacteria bacterium tRNA-Val". It matches the Rfam family "tRNA". Rfam says of the family: Transfer RNA (tRNA) molecules are approximately 80 nucleotides in length. Their secondary structure includes four short double-helical elements and three loops (D, anti-codon, and T loops). The record is from RNAcentral. Lineage: Bacteria; Candidatus Yanofskyibacteriota.
GGGCACUUAGUUCAGUGGUAGAACGUUGCAUUCACAUUGCAAAGGUCGGAGGUUCAAAUCCUCCAGUGCCCA